GACAGCAGCAGCCGCGGAAAUACAGAGGGUGCGAGCGUUAAUCGGAUUUACUGGGCGUAAAGCGUGCGUAGGCGGCUUCUUAAGUCGGAUGUGAAAUCCCUGAGCUUAACUUAGGAAUUGCAUUCGAUACUGGGAAGCUAGAGUAUGGGAGAGGAUGGUAGAAUUCCAGGUGUAGCGGUGAAAUGCGUAGAGAUCUGGAGGAAUACCGAUGGCGAAGGCAGCCAUCUGGCCUAAUACUGACGCUGAGGUACGAAAGCAUGGGGAGCAAACAGGAUUAGAUACCCGCGUAGUCCCUGUCUCUUAUAC
RNAcentral lists this ribosomal RNA (306 nucleotides) under uncultured bacterium. RNAcentral's name for it is "partial 16S ribosomal RNA". It matches the Rfam family "Bacterial small subunit ribosomal RNA", at positions 505 to 807 of the family's 1533-position model. The record is from RNAcentral.